GAUGAACGCUGGCGGCGUGCCUAAUACAUGCAAGUCGAGCGAACAGAUAAGGAGCUUGCUCCUUUGACGUUAGCGGCGGACGGGUGAGUAACACGUGGGUAACCUACCUAUAAGACUGGAAUAACUCCGGGAAACCGGGGCUAAUGCCGGAUAACAUUUAGAACCGCAUGGUUCUAAAGUGAAAGAUGGUUUUGCUAUCACUUAUAGAUGGACCCGCGCCGUAUUAGCUAGUUGGUAAGGUAACGGCUUACCAAGGCAACGAUACGUAGCCGACCUGAGAGGGUGAUCGGCCACACUGGAACUGAGACACGGUCCAGACUCCUACGGGAGGCAGCAGUAGGGAAUCUUCCGCAAUGGGCGAAAGCCUGACGGAGCAACGCCGCGUGAGUGAUGAAGGUCUUCGGAUCGUAAAACUCUGUUAUUAGGGAAGAACAAAUGUGUAAGUAACUGUGCACGUCUUGACGGUACCUAAGCAGAAAGCCACGGCUAACUACGU
RNAcentral lists this ribosomal RNA (496 nucleotides) under uncultured bacterium. RNAcentral's name for it is "partial 16S ribosomal RNA". It matches the Rfam family "Bacterial small subunit ribosomal RNA", at positions 28 to 506 of the family's 1533-position model. The record is from RNAcentral.